RNAcentral lists this non-coding RNA (63 nucleotides) under Streptomyces sp. CB03238. The record is from RNAcentral. Lineage: Bacteria; Bacillati; Actinomycetota; Actinomycetes; Kitasatosporales; Streptomycetaceae.
UGCCGAAACGCCGAGAGGCGUCGUCCACGGGUGGUGCCGUGGGCCUGACGAAGGCAGCCAUUU